CUGUAGCCAAUUAAGCCAACUAUUCUCCUUUCCCCAUAGCGGCCCAGUCUGCAGUGGCUGCAGACUGUGGCCUCCUUGGUAGUGGACACAGACUGUUGCUUGUAUGCAUUGCCUUAAGGGACCUUGGAGACAGCC
Molecule: small nucleolar RNA, 135 nt
Organism: Choloepus didactylus (southern two-toed sloth)
Lineage: Eukaryota; Metazoa; Chordata; Mammalia; Pilosa; Megalonychidae
Product: small nucleolar RNA SNORA70
Exons: 1
Source: RefSeq, a predicted model, not a curated record